This 5940-nucleotide long non-coding RNA is filed under the name Medicago truncatula (barrel medic). RNAcentral's name for it is "long non-coding RNA (MTRU_LNC005377)". The record is from RNAcentral. Lineage: Eukaryota; Viridiplantae; Streptophyta; Magnoliopsida; Fabales; Fabaceae.
ACUGAUAUGAUACAAUUGAAUUGAUUCCUUAACAUCUCAUAAUGGGGAAUCACGUGAAAGUUUUUACAAAAAAAUUCAAAGAAAACAAAUGAAACAAACAAUUACAUGAAAUAUAGUACGUUCAUGUGAAGCAACCAAAGUUUUAGAAAUCUAAAAAAUAAGCCUAGCCUCGAAUGCAUCACCAGAAUAACCUUUAGAUACUUGACGAGCCUUUGGAAUCCUUUUCACACCAAACUUGUUAUCAGUGUUCAAUGCCCCUCCUACAUUACCAGCCAACUUCAGCAUAAAGUUCAUAUAAGUAUUCUUGAUUUUUGUCACCAUCUUAUCAUCCAUCUUAGCUUUGGACUUGUUCUGAUCUUCCAAUCCCUACGUGGACUUCUCAUCCGUAUGAUCUGCAUCUUCUUCCGUCGGCCGGGGGUGGUUGUGCCGUAGUCGAGGCGCCGGUAGCCCCGUCGGCUCAAGUACCUUGUUAUUUACAUGGUUUGAAAUGCUUGAACUUGGUGGAGGACGUCUGGUGAAGGAAGAUGAUGUUUAUGAUCACUUUAUGCGAAUGAAUAGAGAUUAUUGCUUGGAUUAAUUAUGCUUGUGUUAUAUAUAAGAGAAAAAAAAAAUAAAGAAAUUAGGGUUAAAUAUGUUUUUGAUCCCUAUAAAUAUACCAACUUUUUGUUUUAGUCCCUUUAAAUUUUCCUUCAACUUUUAGUCCCUAUAAAAUUUUCAAACACUACUUUUGGUCCCUAUUUUUAAGUUAAUUUUAGUAUUUUUUUUUUUAAUGAAAUUAUGGAGAAAUGUGUAGAAUAUUGUAAAAAUCUUUCCAAAAAAAAUUUAGAAUUUUUUAACAAAACAUAAAUUUAAUAUGAAUUUUUAACCAUAAAAAAUAUAAAAAUUCAUAUUAAACUCAUAUUUUGUUAAAAAAUUUUAAUUUUUUUUGGGAGAGAUUCUUAUAAUAUUAUGAAUUUUUCUGCAAAAUUUUAUUAAAAAAUAUGAGUUUACUUUAAAGGAGGGAUAAAAAAUGAAGAUGGAAAAUUUUAGAGGGAUUAAAAGUUGAAGGAAAAUUUUAGAGGGAUUAAAACGAAAAGUUGGUAUAUAUAUUCAUAAGGAUGAAAAUCAUAUUUAACCAAAAAAAAUUAUAGCACGUUUAAUUUUCUCAAAACAAAGAAAUCGGAUACACAGCGUAAUUGUGCAUUAUAAAAAGAUAUAAUAGAUCCAGAAGUCCUAGCUCAACUGGUAAAAUGCCGAAAUUGUUAGGCCGGAUGCCAUGACCGGGGUUCGAACUCCGGUACCUCCACUUAUGUGUGUGAGUUUAUAAUGGCUUUGCCAUUUCGUCUAUCUACCAAAAAAAAAAAAAAGAUAUAAUAGUAUGUGUGAGUGAAACAAGUAUGACCAAGACCAACCGUCUUUUCUUCCUUCCUUCCUAGAAAUGGCGAGUGGGAAAGUUAUCUCGCUUUAAUGCUAUCAACAAAUGAGAAACAACAAAUGAAUUUGCAUGCUUUUCUUCUAGAUGCUUUGACUUUCAAUUUUUUUUAUAUUUAUCAUUUAAAUAAUGAAUUGAUUGAGUUUAAAAUUUACUAUGAGUAUAAAUGAGAGAAUUGAACGGGGGUGUUCAUGUGUUGGGUGGGUCUCCCUACUCAACCAAAAAAUUGGAUUGGAUUGAAUUGAGUGAUUAAUACAAAUCCAUUUUGAUUAGUUUAAGUGAGUCACAUUAGGUAAGUGAGUCAACAAAGUUGCAACUUGUUAAACCAACAUAAAUAUAAUCUUACUAUAAACGAAUCGAGAUUAAAUUGCAUAGACUAAUCUCUUGCGUCUUAUGUGACCCAACGACAACAAACUCUUCCUAAGAGUUUUAACGUUGCUGCAUGUCUAAGGUUGGAUUCGAACUUAUUAAGACCUUAGUUAAGUUAGAAGAGACUUGUGUCUUUUGGGUAAUUCAUGAAUCAUUUUCGUCAUUUAUACAUAAGUCUAAUUUUUUUUUCCCCGAAUAGUUUAGUAGUUAGAAAUUAAUCCCUUUAAUGAAUAAGUGAGAAUCUAAGUUUCAAACUCCAACCUCUACAUACCGCAACAUUCUUGUGAAUUGAAUUAUGCUUACGGAGACGCAUAAAACUAACUCUAUUGGUAACUAUUUGCCAAAAUUUUAUAUAUAUAUAUAUAUAUAUAUAUAUAUAUAUAGUGAAAAAGAAUGUGUGAGAGAACCAUAUUUUAGUGAAAAAGAAUGUGUGAGAGAAUCUAUUUACUACUCUAAUGUAAUUCUUAUUAACUUGUCGACUGUUACAAUUUUCUCUCAAAGCACAAUUUCUUUCUUGGAUUAUUUUUGUUAACUUUCUAGUUCUCAUGUGAAAAAGGAGUCUAGGUAAUUUAGAGUCAAGUUCAAAGGUAAUAAAGUCCGAUAAAAAAUUAUGUCACCCAAAAAUUGAAGUCACAAACUUUUGGUUACACAAUAGAACAUUUGAUAAAACUGAUUUUUUAUAGUAAACUAAAAUAUCUAAGGUCAAUAUAAUUAAAAUCAACAUGUCUUUUCUUAAUAAAAUGAUAGAUAUAAUAUAAAAGCAACUACCACUUUUUAAUCACGCUUCCAAGCAUAUGGUGAUAGUAUAGUAUUGAAACAUGAUAUAAACAUAUUUUAGUACAGUUGAAAAACAUUAGAAAGAGAGUAAUCCAUCAACCCAUUUUGGAACAUAGAUAUAUCAGUGCCGUACAAAGUGAAUAAAUAUUUUUUUUGCCAACUUUGACCAUUCCAAAAUUCCACAAUCUAGACGUUUACAUAAUUAGAGUUGACAAAAAAAAAAAAUACUCUACCCUCAAUUACAAAUGAUCUUUCAUCAUACAAAAAUGUAUUUUUCUCAGUUAAAUCAAUAAAUCAUCAUAUUUCAUUUGAUUUAAUGGUAAGAUUUAUUGAUUCAGUGAUGAAAACUAACUUAUACAUCGAACAAUAAAAAUAUAAAAAUAUGAUACAGUUGAAUUAAGUAAUUAACACAUCCUAAUAGGGAAAUGGGAAUCACGUGAAUUUUUUUACAAAAAUUCUAAGAAAACAAAGAAACAAACAAUUACAUAGAAUAUAGUUCAUGUGAAGCCACCAAGGUCUUAGAAAUCUCAAAUAUAAGCCUAGCCUCAAACGCAUCACCAGAAUAACCUUUAGACACUUGACGAGCCUUUGGAAUCCGUUUCAUACCAAACUUGUUAUCAGUGUUUAAGGCCCCUCCUACAUUACCAGCCAACUUCAACAUAAAGUUCAUAUACGUAUUCUUGACUUUUGUCAACAAUUUCAAUGGUGAUCUUAUCAUCCAUCUUAGCUUUGGGCUUGUUCUGAUCUUCCAAUCCCUACGUGGACUUCUCAUCCGAAUUACCUGCAUCUUCUUUCGUCGGCCGGUGGUGGUCAUGCCAUAGUCGAGACGCCGGUAUCCCCGUCUGCUUAAAUACUUCUUUAUUUCCAUGUUUUGAAUACCUUGAACUUGGAGGAGGUGGUGGUGGUGACUGGUGAGUGAAGAUGAAGUUUAUGAUGGUUUUCUCUUUUAUGGGAAUGAAUAGAGAUUGUUGUUUGGAUUAACUAUGCAUAUGCUUAUUGGAUUAUAUAUAAGAGAAAGAUUAAAUAAAUAAUACCACGUUUGAUUUGCUUGAAACAUAGCAAGCGAAUGCAUGACGUAAUUGUGCAUAUAUAAAAAAAAUAUACAAAGGGGCUGCAUUUGAAAAAUAAAGUCAAUAAACAACACUUUGACCCUAAAUAAUGUGUGAGUGAACAAAUAUGACCAAGACCAACCGUACUGUACCAUCAACAAAUGAAUUUGCAUUCUUUUCUUCGAGAUGCUUUGAGUUUCUAUGUUUUAAAUUUAACUUUUUAAAUAAUGACUUGAUUGAGUUUGAAUUUGACUAUGAAUGAGAGAGGUCCCUAUGAAGGUUUUGAUGUUUGCUUGGCGUUUUUUUUUUUUUAAAAUAGAUUGUCAACUAGGACGAAUUUAUUUCAAAGAAGGAUUAUUUAUUACUCACGAAAAAUCUCAAUUUUGUGUUAGUGGGUGUGGCUUGCAGAAAUUCGAGAAUCAUUUAUUCUUGACUUAUGGUCUAUUUGGUCUACUGAUUUAGAGUACAUUCAACGGAUCCUUCUACCAUUGUGGAUUAUUUUCUUCAGUUUGGCACCUCUUCAUGUUAUGCAACAUCAAGGCGCUCAUUCAUGAUUUUGAUAUGGUUUGCAAGUUAUUGGGUGAUUUGAAAGGAAAGAAAUGAUAGGCUAUUCAGAGGUAAAGACCAUUCCCCCGUUCAGCUCUUUGGAGAAUAUUAAGCUUUUUUCUUUUUGUUGGUUUAGAGCUAAAUUUGUUGUUAUACUUUUUAUAAUUGGUACCAAAAUCCUUUUGUAUGUAUGCGUGGGGAUUGGCUAAUUGUUGGUUCGUUCUGUUGAUACUUUGUUGCAUUUUUUUUUUUUUUUGGCUUUUUUCUCUGGUAUACCUUGUGCUAGGAGGAUAGAGCUAGUAGUAAUUUAUUUCAUUUUGAUUUCUUAAAAAAAAUUGACUAUGAAUGUAAGUAAAUGAGAGAAUCAGGUAGAUGUGUUCAUGUGUUGGGUCGCCCCGACUCAACCCAAAAAAUUGAAUUGAAUUGAAUGAUCAAUACAAUUUAUUUUGAUUAGACUCAACUCUCAACUUAAGUUAUAUUGGGUUAGGUGAUUAGUCAACCAAGUUGCAACUUGUGAAACCCAUACAAUUAUAACUCUACGUGAGUUUUAGUAUUUUCAAAUUAUAUAAUUCGAAAACAUCAGACCUUGGAAAAAUAUAGAAAAGUUUGUCUUACCAUUUGUAUACCUACGAAUAUUUAACAAAACAUUCAUAAACUUCAAGAUUUGACUAACAAAAACAUAAAUAAUUAUAUUAAAAAAAUCAUACGUGUUUAGUUCCCUAAUAAUAUACAUUUCAACCAAUCUUGGGAGAGGUCUAUGCUACCCGAAUCAACUCUUUAAGAUAUCAUCUUCAAAUUUACUACACGUACAACCUUUUUAACAUUUUCAUUAUUCUCUAGGUUUUCGACUAUCACCAUGUGGUGUUUUAUUUUGGGGUGUUUUUUUCUAGGGGCUUGAUUGCCGCAUUUUUACGUGCCCUUUGUGGUUUUCUCUAGCUUUCCCGUUCUUCUUGUGUAGUGUGUAGCUUUUAAUAAUAUGAUGUUAAAAAAAAAAAUCUAUCAUCACAUCAUCAUCUUCAACUAUCACAUUAUCCGCAUGCCGCAACACGACUAAGUACAUUAUAACUGUUGAACUUGUUAAGUUUCUUGAUCAUGAAAAAAUUAGUACUUGGGAUGAUAUGUUGAAAUGAGUUCAAGAUGAAGCAACGAAAUUAAGGUUUAUUAUUGUUAUGACAAAAUUAGAUCAUGAUUUAAAUUAGAAGAAAUCAUACACUUGUAUUGGGAUGUGAAUUGAGGGGUAUAAACAAAAAAUACAAUAAACAAUUAAGACACAUGAUCCAUAAAAUGUAAGUGUCUGUUCAAAUUGCAACACUAUCUUUUGUGUUCAGGUGUAUGAAAAGUUACCGUAAUGUGUGAAAAGCACAAUCAUGAGACAAUGAAAAUAUGAUACAAUUGAAUCAAUUGCAUAACACCCUCUAAUGGGGAAAUGAGAAUCACGUGGAAACUCUUACAAAACUUCAAAGAAAACAAAGAAACAAGCAAUUACUACAUGGAAUAUAGUUCAUGUGAAGCAACCAAGGUCUUAGAAAUCUCAAAUAUAAGCCUAGCCUCAAAUGCAUCACCAGAAUAACCUUUAGAAUUAGACACUUGACGAGCCUUUGGAAUCCGUUUCAUACCAAACUUGUUAUCAGUGUUUAAGGCCCCUCCUACAUUACCAGCCAACUUCAACAUAAAGUUCAUAUACGUAUUCUUGACUUUUGUCAACAAUUUCAAUGGUGAUCUUAUCAUCCAUCUUAGCUUUGGGCUUGUUCUGAUCUUCCAAUCCCUACGUGGACUUCUCAUCCUUAU